RNAcentral lists this ribosomal RNA (253 nucleotides) under uncultured bacterium. RNAcentral describes it as "partial 16S ribosomal RNA". It matches the Rfam family "Bacterial small subunit ribosomal RNA", at positions 524 to 776 of the family's 1533-position model. The record is from RNAcentral.
UCCGUAGGGGGCAAGCGUUGUCCGGAUUUAUUGGGCGUAAAGAGCGUGUAGGCGGCCUGACAAGUCUGCUGUGAAAACUCGAGGCUCAACCUCGAGAUGUCGGCGGAAACUGUCUGGCUAGAGUCCGGAAGAGGAGAGUGGAAUUCCUGGUGUAGCGGUGAAAUGCGCAGAUAUCAGGAGGAACACCCGUGGCGAAGGCGGCUUCCUGGGGCCAUCCUGACACUGAGAAGCGAAAGCUAGGGGAGCGAACGGG